Molecule: transfer RNA, 90 nt
Filed under: Clostridia bacterium
Lineage: Bacteria; Bacillati; Bacillota; Clostridia
Description: tRNA-Ser
Rfam family: tRNA
About the family: Transfer RNA (tRNA) molecules are approximately 80 nucleotides in length. Their secondary structure includes four short double-helical elements and three loops (D, anti-codon, and T loops).
Source: RNAcentral
GGAGAAGUACCCAAGUGGUGAAGGGGUUCGCUUGCUAAGCGAAUAGGCUGGGAAACCGGUGCGAGAGUUCGACCCUCUCCUUCUCCGCCA